RNAcentral lists this unclassified non-coding RNA (326 nucleotides) under Hevea brasiliensis (rubber tree). The record is from RNAcentral. Lineage: Eukaryota; Viridiplantae; Streptophyta; Magnoliopsida; Malpighiales; Euphorbiaceae.
UUUGGAUAAAAACUUAGUUGAGUUUGAGUUGAGUUAGAACCACAGAGGGUAAAGCAGCUUAGCAAGGAAUUCUAUAACCAUAAGGGCAUUGCAAAAUAAUAAUAAUAUGAGGCUAGCCUCGUUUGCCAGGCGCAUUUCGAUGUUCCCAAUCCCAUAACUUGACUUCUUGUCAAAGUUUGAUUUGGGUUUGCAAUUUGCAUGAUGAGAAGAACAGCAAUUGAUGUGUAGAAUGGGAUUGCUCGACUGUAAACGAGCGAAACUUUCCCCUGGUCAUGGCUUUCUUGUGAGAGUAUGCAUUCUUUUAUUGAAUAUAUUUUGGAUGCCAG